CGCUUCAUCGAGCGUGAAAUCGAGUAGGGCGGGACACGUGAUAUCCUGUCUGAAUAUGGGGGGACCAUCCUCCAAGGCUAAAUACUCCUGACUGACCGAUAGUGAACCAGUACCGUGAGGGAAAGGCGAAAAGAACCCCUGUGAGGGGAGUGAAAUAGAACCUGAAACCGUGUACGUACAAGCAGUAGGAGCACCUUCGUGGUGUGACUGCGUACCUUUUGUAUAAUGGGUCAGCGACUUAUAUUCAGUGGCAAGGUUAACCGUAUAGGGGAGCCGUAGCGAAAGCGAGUCUUAACUGGGCGCUCAGUCUCUGGAUAUAGACCCGAAACCGGGUGAUCUAGCCAUGGGCAGGUUGAAGGUUGAGUAACAUCAACUGGAGGACCGAACCGACUAAUGUUGAAAAAUUAGCGGAUGACUUGUGGCUAGGGGUGAAAGGCCAAUCAAACUCGGAGAUAGCUGGUUCUCCCCGAAAGCUAUUUAGGUAGCGCCUCGGACGAAUACUACUGGGGGUAGAGCACUGUUAAGGCUAGGGGGUCAUCCCGACUUACCAACCCUUUGCAAACUCCGAAUACCAGUAAGUACUAUCCGGGAGACACACGGCGGGUGCUAACGUCCGUCGUGGAGAGGGAAACAACCCAGACCGCCAGCUAAGGUCCCAAAGUAUUGCUAAGUGGGAAACGAUGUGGGAAGGCUCAGACAGCUAGGAUGUUGGCUUAGAAGCAGCCAUCAUUUAAAGAAAGCGUAAUAGCUCACUAGUCGAGUCGGCCUGCGCGGAAGAUGUAACGGGGCUAAGCAAUACACCGAAGCUGCGGCAAUGUCUUUUAGACAUUGGGUAGGGGAGCGUUCUGUAAGCCGUUGAAGGUGAAUCGUAAGGUUUGCUGGAGGUAUCAGAAGUGCGAAUGCUGACAUGAGUAACGACAAAGGGGGUGAAAAACCUCCUCGCCGGAAGACCAAGGGUUCCUGUCCAACGUUAAUCGGGGCAGGGUGAGUCGACCCCUAAGGUGAGGCCGAAAGGCGUAAUCGAUGGGAAACGGGUUAAUAUUCCCGUACUUCUGACUAUUGCGAUGGGGGGACGGAGAAGGCUAGGUGGGCCAGGCGACGGUUGUCCUGGUUCAAGUGCGUAGGCUUGAGAGUUAGGUAAAUCCGGCUCUCUCUAAGGCUGAGACACGACGUCGAGCUACUACGGUAGUGAAGUCAUUGAUGCCAUGCUUCCAGGAAAAGCCUCUAAGCUUCAGAUAGUCAGGAAUCGUACCCCAAACCGACACAGGUGGUCGGGUAGAGAAUACCAAGGCGCUUGAGAGAACUCGGGUGAAGGAACUAGGCAAAAUGGUACCGUAACUUCGGGAGAAGGUACGCUCUUGAUGGUGAAGUCCCUCGCGGAUGGAGCUGACGAGAGUCGCAGAUACCAGGUGGCUGCAACUGUUUAUUAAAAACACAGCACUGUGCAAAAUCGCAAGAUGACGUAUACGGUGUGACGCCUGCCCGGUGCCGGAAGGUUAAUUGAUGGGGUUAGCGCAAGCGAAGCUCUUGAUCGAAGCCCCGGUAAACGGCGGCCGUAACUAUAACGGUCCUAAGGUAGCGAAAUUCCUUGUCGGGUAAGUUCCGACCUGCACGAAUGGCGUAAUGAUGGCCACGCUGUCUCCACCCGAGACUCAGUGAAAUUGAAAUCGCUGUGAAGAUGCAGUGUACCCGCGGCUAGACGGAAAGACCCCGUGAACCUUUACUACAGCUUGGCACUGAACAUUGAACCUACAUGUGUAGGAUAGGUGGGAGGCUAUGAAGACGUGACGCCAGUUGCGUUGGAGCCGUCCUUGAAAUACCACCCUUGUAUGUUUGAUGUUCUAACUUAGACCCAUUAUCUGGGUUGAGGACAGUGCCUGGUGGGUAGUUUGACUGGGGCGGUCUCCUCCCAAAGAGUAACGGAGGAGCACGAAGGUGGGCUAAUCACGGUUGGACAUCGUGAGGUUAGUGCAAUGGCAUAAGCCCGCUUAACUGCGAGAAUGACGGUUCGAGCAGGUGCGAAAGCAGGUCAUAGUGAUCCGGUGGUUCUGUAUGGAAGGGCCAUCGCUCAACGGAUAAAAGGUACUCCGGGGAUAACAGGCUGAUACCGCCCAAGAGUUCAUAUCGACGGCGGUGUUUGGCACCUCGAUGUCGGCUCAUCACAUCCUGGGGCUGAAGUCGGUCCCAAGGGUAUGGCUGUUCGCCAUUUAAAGUGGUACGCGAGCUGGGUUUAGAACGUCGUGAGACAGUUCGGUCCCUAUCUGCCGUGGGCGUUGGAAGAUUGAAGGGGGCUGCUCCUAGUACGAGAGGACCGGAGUGGACGAACCUCUGGUGUUCGGGUUGUGUCGCCAGACGCAUUGCCCGGUAGCUAAGUUCGGAAUUGAUAAGCGCUGAAAGCAUCUAAGCGCGAAGCGAGCCCUGAGAUGAGUCUUCCCUGACAGUUUAACUGUCCUAAAGGGUUGUUCGAGACUAGAACGUUGAUAGGCAGGGUGUGUAAGCGUUGUGAGGCGUUGAGCUAACCUGUACUAAUUGCCCGUGAGGCUUAACCAUACAACACCCAAGGGGUUUUGUA
This 2572-nucleotide ribosomal RNA is filed under the name Vibrio cholerae. RNAcentral's name for it is "partial 23S ribosomal RNA". It matches the Rfam family "Bacterial large subunit ribosomal RNA", at positions 389 to 2925 of the family's 2925-position model. The record is from RNAcentral. Lineage: Bacteria; Pseudomonadati; Pseudomonadota; Gammaproteobacteria; Vibrionales; Vibrionaceae.